This 523-nucleotide ribosomal RNA is filed under the name uncultured bacterium. RNAcentral's name for it is "partial 16S ribosomal RNA". It matches the Rfam family "Bacterial small subunit ribosomal RNA", at positions 355 to 895 of the family's 1533-position model. The record is from RNAcentral.
UGGGGAAUAUUGGACAAUGGGCGCAAGCCUGAUCCAGCCAUGCCGCGUGAGUGAUGAAGGCCUUAGGGUUGUAAAGCUCUUUCGCCGGUGAAGAUAAUGACGGUAACCGGAGAAGAAGCCCCGGCUAACUUCGUGCCAGCAGCCGCGGUAAUACGAAGGGGGCUAGCGUUGCUCGGAAUCACUGGGCGUAAAGCGCACGUAGGCGGAUCGUUAAGUCAGGGGUGAAAUCCUGGAGCUCAACUCCAGAACUGCCCUUGAUACUGGCGAUCUCGAGUUCGAGAGAGGUUGGUGGAACUCCGAGUGUAGAGGUGAAAUUCGUAGAUAUUCGGAAGAACACCAGUGGCGAAGGCGGCCAACUGGCUCGAUACUGACGCUGAGGUGCGAAAGCGUGGGGAGCAAAACAGGAUUAGAUACCCUGGUAGUCCACGCCGUAAACGAUGGAUGCUAGCCGUUGGGGGGUUUACCUCUCAGUGGCGCAGCUAACGCCUUAAGCAUCCCGCCUGGGGAGUACGGUCGCAAGAUU